Molecule: ribosomal RNA, 253 nt
Filed under: uncultured bacterium
Lineage: Bacteria
Description: partial 16S ribosomal RNA
Rfam family: Bacterial small subunit ribosomal RNA
Source: RNAcentral
UACGUAGGGUGCGAGCGUUAAUCGGAAUUACUGGGCGUAAAGAGUGUGUAGGCGGUGCUCUAAGUUCGGUGUGAAAUCUCCUGGCUUAACUGGGAGGGUGCGCCGGAAACUGGAGUGCUCGAGCGUGGGGGAGGAAAGCGGAAUUCCUGGUGUAGCGGUGAAAUGCGUAGAUAUCAGGAGGAACACCUGUGGUGUAGACGGCUUUCUGGACCAUUGCUGACGCUGAGACACGAAAGCGUGGGUAGCAAACAGG